GUAAUUUUUUUUCAACAUUUUUUUCGUCUUAAAAAAAGUAAACUCAACAAAAAUCCUUUUAUUUUAGCGAAUAGAAUAAUUUUGGGGACCACUUUGUAAAUUUACCUGCCUUUUUUUUAUGACAAUUAUCCUACAAAAAAUAAUUUUACUCAAUUUGUCAUUUUAAGGUUGGUAAUCAUGGCGAAAUAUGUUUGUCAAAAGAUAUUUUAAUAUUUAAUGUUUAUUUCUGAAUCUAAAACAACUCAAAAAUGUUGAUCGUAUCUCAAUUUAAGAUAUUUAAGGGUGUUUGAAGAUAAAUAAUAUAAGAUAACAAUAAUAAUUAAUUAAUAAGCUGUGUUUAAUUAAAUCACUUAAAAUGUCAGAUUCUUAAUCUUAUUCCACUUAGCACAUAUCUGUUUAGAAAAUCAAAUGUAUCAUAUAUAAACAGUGAGAAACCAAAUAUACUAUGAUUGUGUUGCUUGAGGAAGUCAAGAUGGGUUUUAAAGUUGUUGUUGUUCUUGCAGUUUUAGCCCUUAUAAGUGGAGCUGAGUUAAUAUUGGAUGAAGGUGAAACGCAUGGAGUUGGAAUAUUAAACAACACUUCUGGGUUAUUAAAAGAGACUUGGAUAGUGCGUCAUAAUAUGGAUGAUGAAAUGAUAAAUAAUGUUCUAACUACAAUAGAACGCGCCCUUCAGAUGGAUUUACCACGAAUUAUAUUUAUACGAACUACUUUGGCUGAAUUAUAUCCGGAUAUUCGUUUUAAUAUUUUUGAAAACUACACUGCCUAUUCUGUAUAUAUUUCUCUUAAUGCUGAAAUUGAAGGAUACGAUCGCGACGGAAAGCGCACUUGGUACAAAAUCUUUACAUCUUUUUCAUAAUGAUUAAUAUCUUAAUGCUUUUAUGUCACUUUGUUAUAUUUUGAAGGAAUUGUUUUACAAUUAAUAAAUAAAUUAAAGUUGUGUCUUGACCAACUUAAAAGGCAUUUCAAGGAGACAAAAAUUUUUAGAUGUCACCUUGAACUCACCUUCAAUGACCUCUAAUUCACCUUCAAUAAGAUAAAUUGGAAAAUGUUGGUCGAACAUGUUAGGAUGUCUCCUGCAAUGACCUCUAAUUAACAUUGACCCACUUAAAAAUAUAAAAAUAAAAAGAAAUUUAAACUUUCAAGUCGCCACUUUAAAUUAAAAACGGUUUAAUAAUAUUAAUAAUAAAACGGUUCUUUAUUAAUUAUAACAUGUCUUUCAAAAAAUAACAAAGUAACUUAAAAAUAUUAAUCAUUUAUAAAAAUUGUGUUGAUUCACUUCCUAUUUGAUGAACGAGAAACUCAACUUCUAAAUGUGAAUUUCUAAAGAAAAUGGUUCUCCAAGUAAUCUCUCUCUAAUCUUUUAAAUCGUAUCGUCAAGAUAAUAAUUCCAUUUCUACGUUUUAUUUUGUGACUUCGAUUACUUAUAGUUUGUAUAGUUUUAAGAAACAAUUAAAUGGUGAUUGAAGACGUAAUUUAAAGAUAUGAUAGUUUUAAAUUUCCCGUUUGAUUUACGAGCCAUAAUGUCGUCAAACCGCGGUACUUUGUAAAUCUAGGGACUUUAGGGGCAAUUUGAAAUGAGAGUCCUCUAUGAUUGACUGAAUCCACUAAAUAAGUAGAUUCCUUUUUUUUAAUUACCGACAUAAAACAAUAUAACCUACAAAAUAAAAACUAAUAUAAAUGUUAUUCAAACUAAAAGGAAUCAAAUUCUUGGGGAAAUAAUAACCAGUUUUAUUUUAAUUAUUAAAUACAAACAUUUUCUUUAUAAGGAUAAAGAUGAUGCUACUCUUUUUGAUAAUACUAUUUUGAUACGUAAUUUUGAGACAAAUGAGUUGAUUUAAAGCUCAAAUAUGACUUUAUUGUAAAGGUAAGGUUACUAAUUAACCUUCAAUCUUUUGAAUCGUAUCAUUAAGAUAAUAAUUCCACCUCUACCUUUUAUUUUGCGACUCCAAUAACAUUUAGUUCGCAGAAUUUUAAGGAACAAUUAAAUUAAAGUUUUAUUUUCAGAACAAUAAACAAAUAUAUUUCAGAUGAGAGUCAUCUAUGAUUGAAUGAAUUAACUAGAAAAGUAGAUUCCUUUUUUUUGAAUUACCGACAUAAUUCAACAUAACCUGCAAAAUAAAUACUUUAUAAUAUAAACGUUAUUUCGAGUAAAAUGAAACAAAUACUUGGGGAAAUAAUAAAUAAGUUUAGUUUAAUUAUGAAAUACAAAUAUUUUCAAUACAAGGAUUAAGGAGAAUGCUGCUUUUUCUAAUGAUACCAUCGUAGUUUGGCCUUAUUUUUGAGACAAAUGAGUUGAUUUAAAACUCAAAUAUAAUUUCAUUGUAAAGGAGCUGUGAAUGGAUAAAAACGCUGCUACUUUUUCUGACGAUACCACCGUAAUUUGGCCUUAUUUUGAGACAAAUGAGUUGAUUUAAAGCUCAAAUGUGACUUUAUUAUAAAGUGGUAUCAAGAAGCAAUCACCGCUUAUAAUGAACGAGAAGAUCAUAAUCUAUGUUUAUUCCUGAAUUCAAAACUACUCAAAAAUGUUGAUUGUAUCUCAAUUUAAGACAUUUAAGAACAAUUAAAAAUAAAUAAUAGAAGAUAAUAAACAAUUUAAGCUGUCUUAAAUCCACUAAAAGUGAUUGAAUGUGAGAUUCUUAAUCUUAUCCCACUUAGAACAUAUCUGUUUAGAAAAUCAGUUAGAUGUAUCAUAUAUAAACGGCGAGAAACCAAAUAUACUAUGAUUGUGUUGCUUGAAGAGACUCAAGAUGGGUUUUAAAGUUGUUGUCAUCCUUGUAGUUUUAGCCCUUAUUAAUGGCUGCAUUGGUGCUGCAAUAUUGAAUGAAGCUGAAACAGAUGAUGUUGAAAUAUUACCCCCCAACAAUUCUGAGUUAUUAAGACAGCCUUGGGUAAGGUAUCAUAAUAUGGAUGAUGAAAUGAUAAGACUUGUUCUAUCUACAGUAGAAAUCGCCCUUGCAGUUGAUACACACCGACCUUCAUUUAUAAACAAUAUUUUGCGUUCGUUAUAUCCAAAUAUUCGUUUUAAUAUUUUUGAAAACUACACACGCUAUUCUGUAUAUCGUUCUCUUCAUGCUUCAAUUGAAGGAUACGAUCGCGACGGAGUACGAUUUAGGUACAAAAUCUAUACACCAUAACUUUUUUAAAAAUGAUUAAUAUUAAUUUACUUUGUUAUAUUUUGACAAAAUUGUUAUA
Molecule: long non-coding RNA, 3192 nt
Filed under: Onthophagus taurus
Lineage: Eukaryota; Metazoa; Arthropoda; Insecta; Coleoptera; Scarabaeidae
Description: uncharacterized LOC111428950, transcript variant X3
Source: RNAcentral